UGUAGUGGGUCGUUCAGGCCCACGGGAGUACACUCAUCAAUGGAGACACUGGGCUGAAAUAAAUAAAAAAGGGGGAGAUGUGGAGAGCCGUUUUUAGCCAUUUUCCGGGUUAGGGCCUAGUGGGCAUUCUGCGGCCUGCUCCUAGAGUACGCCCCUCCCAUCGAGUGAGCCAAGAUGGCGCUCGAGCCCUGCUUCCGCAUUAUGGCGCUAGAAGCAGCAGUCGCUGCUAGCCUAUUGUACACGCUUACGUGGUGUUUGUUUGUUGGUUAUGAUCAUUGUAUAUAAGAAAGUUCCCGGGCAGAGCUCGGAGAGACAGCCCACAAGGAGCCGAGAUCUGAAGAG
This is a long non-coding RNA of Choloepus didactylus (southern two-toed sloth), 342 nucleotides long. RefSeq lists it as uncharacterized. The transcript is spliced from 3 exons. NCBI's taxonomy places the organism in Eukaryota, Metazoa, Chordata, Mammalia, Pilosa, Megalonychidae. The record is from RefSeq and is a predicted model, not a curated record.